This is a non-coding RNA of Escherichia coli str. K-12 substr. MG1655, 42 nucleotides long. Lineage: Bacteria; Pseudomonadati; Pseudomonadota; Gammaproteobacteria; Enterobacterales; Enterobacteriaceae. The record is from Rfam.
AAAUGUGCAAAUUCAAUAAAUUGCAAUUCAACUUGUAGGCCU